GACGAACGCUGGCGGCGUGCUUAACACGUGCAAGUCGAACGGAAAGGCCCUGCUUUUGUGGGGUGCUCGAGUGGCGAACGGGUGAGUAACACGUGAGUAACCUGCCCUUGACUUUGGGAUAACUUCAGGAAACUGGGGCUAAUACCGGAUAGGAGCUCCUGCUGCAUGGUGGGGGUUGGAAAGUUUCGGCGGUUGGGGAUGGACUCGCGGCUUAUCAGCUUGUUGGUGGGGUAGUGGCUUACCAAGGCUUUGACGGGUAGCCGGCCUGAGAGGGUGACCGGCCACAUUGGGACUGAGAUACGGCCCAGACUCCUACGGGAGGCAGCAGUGGGGAAUAUUGCACAAUGGGCGGAAGCCUGAUGCAGCAACGCCGCGUGCGGGAUGACGGCCUUCGGGUUGUAAACCGCUUUCGCCUGUGACGAAGCGUGAGUGACGGUAAUGGGUAAAGAAGCACCGGCUAACUACG
RNAcentral lists this ribosomal RNA (466 nucleotides) under uncultured bacterium. RNAcentral describes it as "partial 16S ribosomal RNA". It matches the Rfam family "Bacterial small subunit ribosomal RNA", at positions 28 to 505 of the family's 1533-position model. The record is from RNAcentral.